GGAUCAUGACUGAGAGUAUGACUGUCACAUCUGUCACCCCAUCGAUCACCAGGGAUGAUUUAGCUGAUCUGGCUGACUAGGUGGUAUCCCCUUCCCUGAUAUUCCAUGUGUCCCUCCUAAGGCUGCGCACCUGGCCAAGAGGACAACCUUCCUGGAUAGAGACGGAUCAUUCCAUUCAUUGUUGAAUGGUAUAUAACACUCCCCUAACAUAACCUCCAUACUAGCUCGCAAGGAAUACUGUAAAAAAGAGGUGGGGGUGAACUAAUUAAGCUAUUCAUUGCAAAAGUACUU
Molecule: unclassified non-coding RNA, 291 nt
Organism: Dipodomys ordii (Ord's kangaroo rat)
Lineage: Eukaryota; Metazoa; Chordata; Mammalia; Rodentia; Heteromyidae
Gene: 7SK
Rfam family: 7SK RNA
About the family: 7SK was discovered as an abundant small nuclear RNA in the mid-70s but a possible function has only recently been suggested. Two independent studies have found that 7SK RNA binds the CDK9/cyclin T complex (known as elongation factor P-TEFb).
Source: Ensembl